RNAcentral lists this ribosomal RNA (405 nucleotides) under uncultured bacterium. RNAcentral describes it as "bacterial SSU rRNA". It matches the Rfam family "Bacterial small subunit ribosomal RNA", at positions 28 to 437 of the family's 1533-position model. The record is from RNAcentral.
GACGAACGCUGGCGGCGUGCUUAACACAUGCAAGUCGAGCGGUAAGGCCCUUUCGGGGGUACACGAGCGGCGAACGGGUGAGUAACACGUGGGUGACCUGCCCUCAGCUCUGGGAUAAGCCUGGGAAACUGGGUCUAAUACUGGAUAUGACUCCACGGUGCAUGUCGUGGGGUGGAAAGCCUUGUGCGGCUGAGGAUGGGCCCGCGGCCUAUCAGCUUGUUGGUGGGGNGAUGGCCUACCAAGGCGACGACGGGUAGCCGGCCUGAGAGGGCGACCGGCCACACUGGGACUGAGACACGGCCCAGACUCCUACGGGAGGCAGCAGUGGGGAAUCUUGCGCAAUGGGCGAAAGCCUGACGCAGCGACGCCGCGUGAGGGAUGACGGCCUGGUUGUAACGUACUUUC